GGGCGAUUAGCUCAGCUGGGAGAGCGCCACCUUGACAUGGUGGAGGUCACUGGUUCGAGCCCAGUAUCGCCCA
RNAcentral lists this transfer RNA (73 nucleotides) under Solirubrobacteraceae bacterium. RNAcentral's name for it is "tRNA-Val". It matches the Rfam family "tRNA". Rfam says of the family: Transfer RNA (tRNA) molecules are approximately 80 nucleotides in length. Their secondary structure includes four short double-helical elements and three loops (D, anti-codon, and T loops). Further hydrogen bonds mediate the characteristic L-shaped molecular structure. tRNAs have two regions of fundamental functional importance: the anti-codon, which is responsible for specific mRNA codon recognition, and the 3' end, to which the tRNAs corresponding amino acid is attached (by aminoacyl-tRNA synthetases). tRNAs cope with the degeneracy of the genetic code in two manners: having more than one tRNA (with a specific anti-codon) for a particular amino acid; and 'wobble' base-pairing, i.e. permitting non-standard base-pairing at the 3rd anti-codon position. The record is from RNAcentral. RNAcentral also lists the same sequence under 2 other names. Lineage: Bacteria; Bacillati; Actinomycetota; Thermoleophilia; Solirubrobacterales; Solirubrobacteraceae.